This 736-nucleotide ribosomal RNA is filed under the name unidentified microorganism. Its description in RNAcentral is "bacterial SSU rRNA". It matches the Rfam family "Bacterial small subunit ribosomal RNA", at positions 51 to 777 of the family's 1533-position model. The record is from RNAcentral.
ACACAUGCAGUCGAACGGCAGCAUGAUCUAGCUUGCUAGAUUGAUGGCGAGUGGCGAACGGGUGAGUAAUACAUCGGAACGUGCCCUGUAGUGGGGGAUAACUAGUCGAAAGAUUAGCUAAUACCGCAUACGACCUGAGGGUGAAAGUGGGGGACCGCAAGGCCUCAUGCUAUAGGAGCGGCCGAUGUCUGAUUAGCUAGUUGGUGAGGUAAAGGCUCACCAAGGCGACGAUCAGUAGCUGGUCUGAGAGGACGAUCAGCCACACUGGGACUGAGACACGGCCCAGACUCCUACGGGAGGCAGCAGUGGGGAAUUUUGGACAAUGGGCGAAAGCCUGAUCCAGCAAUGCCGCGUGUGUGAAGAAGGCCUUCGGGUUGUAAAGCACUUUUGUCCGGAAAGAAAUGGCUCUGGUUAAUACCUGGGGUCGAUGACGGUACCGGAAGAAUAAGGACCGGCUAACUACGUGCCAGCAGCCGCGGUAAUACGUAGGGUCCAAGCGUUAAUCGGAAUUACUGGGCGUAAAGCGUGCGCAGGCGGUUGUGCAAGACCGAUGUGAAAUCCCCGAGCUUAACUUGGGAAUUGCAUUGGUGACUGCACGGCUAGAGUGUGUCAGAGGGGGGUAGAAUUCCACGUGUAGCAGUGAAAUGCGUAGAGAUGUGGAGGAAUACCGAUGGCGAAGGCAGCCCCCUGGGAUAACACUGACGCUCAUGCACGAAAGCGUGGGGAGCAAACAGGA